This is a long non-coding RNA of Columba livia (rock pigeon), 3080 nucleotides long. RefSeq lists it as uncharacterized. The transcript is spliced from 3 exons. The record is from RefSeq and is a predicted model, not a curated record. Lineage: Eukaryota; Metazoa; Chordata; Aves; Columbiformes; Columbidae.
UUCACACCUGACUUCAGUGAAGUGAGAAACUGGUCCUUAGAAAAACAGGUGCUCUGACCUUGGAGUGUGGUUUUUGAUGCAGAUUGUGUUUCUGCCUCACUUGUGCUGCUCUCCCUCAGCUUUUAUGGACACGCAUUCUUUAUACCUGGCUUGAAAGCAGUUACACUGUCUAGCUGCAUUGUUGUGUUCGCUGUUUGACUUCCCUGAAUGACGGUAAAAAAUAUACAUACCUUAUUUUUACAAUUUCAUUAAAUAUUUGAUAUUCAACUCUGCCCUUUCCAAGAAUCCUGGAUGUUUAAAGAACUUGAAAUGUAGCUGUUCCUUUCAUCUGUGAUGCUAUGUAUUUCCCUGAUUUUACUUGCUGAUGCUUCUUUGCUUUUGUUUGUUUUGCUUUGGUUGGUGGCUUUUUUUGGUUUUGUUGUAUUUUUUUUCUUCUCCAAAGUGUUACUUAGCUAAAAAUGCUGACUGCAAGUCAGAACCCCAACGUAAGCACAGGAGCUAUAAAACUGAGAUUACUGUGUACUUUGCACUAAGCAAAUCCUCUAUUAUCUGUGUAAUACUGCAGCUUUGGAGAAACAAUAUCACAGAUUUUUCCUAUCGUGCACACAUUCCCAUCCUUUCUUAGCUGUGGGAACAUAGUAUUAUAGUGCAAGUUAAACCCUGAAGGCUUUGAGUCUUUCCAGGCGUGGAUUCUCUCUUACUGGCCCAGGUCUUAUUUGAGAGCAAGAUCUGCAUGAACAGCAUCUUUAUUUUAACACUAUUUCACUGUUUCACCCAGUGUUGUUCCACUGGGUCAAGGGGACAAUUUUUACUCUUUUAGAUUUUAUUUUUGGAAUUACUUUUAAUCAGAAAUCUAAGAUUGAGAAGGAAGAAACAGCUCUGCCACAAAAAUGGGCAUUCAUUUGAAAACCUGGGGAGGGGUCCUAACUUGCCUUUGUGUGAUCUUCCAUUUUCCUGGGGUGUCUUCCAGCACAAACUUAAUCCCUAUAAAAACAGACAGUGAAAACUGAACGAACACAAGAGACGCAUGCAUUCUUUGUGAUAAGCACCCUUGAGCUUUUCACAAUUGCAUUUAUUUUUCACCUGCUCAUUUACUGUACACCUGUCCCAGGCUGGCACUGUUCUUGGCUGCACUAUGGAUGAUUCUCAGUUUCAGAGCCAGAUUCGUUCUUACAAUUAUUUCACUGGCACAUAGUAAAAACUGUUUCCUGCACUCAGCAAAACACAGCUAAAUAAAGAGUCCAGGUGUGCCAUGUUUAUUAGCCUUUCUACAGUGUAAUACUAAUCUUUGCUCUAAAUAAGUAGCUUUAAGAGACUGUAAUAAUAACCACUUGUCUUGCACGCCCCAGGCGAGAAACAGAAGACGCUCCAGUCCUCUGAACACAGAUUUCAUGGUGGGUCUAGAUGAAGUUUGUGGCACAGGUGUUGAUGUAAUUGCAAUAAUGAUACAUGAGGAGUGCACACGUGGUUCAACCAGCUUUCAGAUAAAUGUUUUCACUGGAGUGGCAUGGCAGCUUGCCAUCAGGUGGGGGGGCCAGUCAGACCCAUGUGGGAGAUUGGUGGGGGAAAAGGAAAACAAAAAAAAAAAAAAAAGGAAGGGAAAAAAAAAUGUAAAAAAUAAUAUUAAAAACCCCAACACCACGAAGAAAAAGAAAAAAAGGAAAAAACACAAAGCAAAAAACCCUGCAAAACCACAAUGUGACAUAAAAAGAAAAAAUCACAAAGCAGAAAAUAAAAUUAAAAAAAAAGUAACCCUAUACCACAAAACCAAACAGCAAACAAACAAAACCUCCACAUCAAAAGAAAACAGAAACAACGCCCCCACACACAAACACCACCACACCUUCAGGCAUUGCAGCUGCUAACACAACAAGGGUUUAGGGUUUUUUCCUGUAUUAUGUCUGUGUAUUUGCACUACACUGAUCAUUCCAAUAUUUUUAUCUUGCUUCCUCUCCCUCUGCAUACAUUUUGAUGUCUGUAUGCACAUAUUUAUGUAUAUUAUGCUUCAUAAAAAAUAUGUAAGUAGUGAUUAUGAGUUGACUCAUGAUCAAUUGAUAUUUUAAUGAGGAGUUGCAAAUCCAUAUAAACAAUGGGGACUGAAUAUUUUAUUAACGUCUAGUAGGUACUGACGCAUCCAGACUUUUUAAAAUUAGAAUAGCAGAUACAUACAUGCCCAACCACCUUAAACACAAAUCUGUGGUAGGUACAAGCAUGUACCCUUGGCAGAUGAAAACAUGUGCACCUGGAAUGUCUUAACCCUGAGAAUGUGUUGUCGUGUCCUAGUGAAAGUGUUAAUUCUCCACUGCCUAAGCUACUUGUUUAGGGUAUGAGCUGGGAAAAGUACUUAGCUACAUACUGCAAGGAUGUGGUUGCAGCUUUUGUAGGACUAUUCACAUUACUAAAAUAAUACUUCUACAUCUUUCUGUGAUUUUUCACACUCUGACUGGGCAUUUAUUUACAUCCUCUGCAAGUCAAGGAUAGUUUCGCAAACACUGAAGGAGCAAAUCGGUGUUUUCCUGCAGCAAUUUAACCAGACAGCGUGACAAAACUCUCCUCUGAUGUAUUCAUUGCAAGUGGGAAUGUUCCCAGUGUCAUCAACAUCUCUUCUAUAAGCAAUGGAGCUGGAGAAGCACCUCAAAGGAAUCUCAUCUCUUAUUUUGGAAACAUAUUUCAGGAUGUUAUGAGUCUUCCUGUGGAGCAACCUCGGGAUGUUGAGGAUGGCUGCAGGAUUCUCCAAGAUACUUGACAGACUGUCAAAGGGAAAUACAGCUGUGGAUCAUUGGUUAAGUAGUCCAAGGAAGACCUUUGGCUGUUUUUCAGACAACACUGUAUAAUUACAACCGCAUCAGUAAAGGGAGGUCAGAUCUAUCUUUCAGGCAUGCAUUAUUAUGAUGGAAAGACCCUGAAAUAUCAUUUGUGUGGAUACAAUACCCAGUUACUGGUUAUUGAUCUGGCAUUGUUCCAUAUCAAUUCCCAACCUGAUUCUUUGCAGCAUGAUCUAUGUCAACAGUGUAUCUCUCUUAAUAUUUCUUUCAUUCUUAGGAAGCUGAAGAAAAAGAAUAAAUAUAUUCUCUCAUUUC